CAUGCAAGUCGAACGGAAACCUUCGGGUUUUAGUGGCGAACGGGUGAGUAACACGUAAGCAACCUGCCCUUAAGACGAGGAUAACAAUUGGAAACAGUUGCUAAGACUGGAUAGGAAAAGUAAAGGCAUCUUUACUUUUUUAAAAGACCUUCUUUGAAGGUAUGCUUAAGGAGGGGCUUGCGACACAUUAGUUAGUUGGCAGGGUAAAGGCCUACCAAGACUAUGAUGUGUAGCUGGACUGAGAGGUUGAACAGCCACAUUGGGACUGAGACACGGCCCAAACUCCUACGGGAGGCAGCAGUAGGGAAUUUUCGGCAAUGGAGGAAACUCUGACCGAGCAACGCCGCGUGAACGAUGAAGUACCUCGGUAUGUAAAGUUCUUUUAUUAAGGAAGAAAAAAGAGUGGAAAAACUCCCUUGACGGUACUUAAUGAAUAAGCCCCGGCUAAUUAUGUGCCAGCAGCCGCGGUAAUACAUAAGGGGCGAGCGUUAUCCGGAAUUAUUGGGCGUAAAGGGUGCGUAGGCGGUUUAAUAAGUCUAURGUUUAAUUUCAGUGCUUAACGCUGUUGUGCUAUAGAAACUGUUUUACUAGAGUGAGUUAGAGGCAAGCGGAAUUCCAUGUGUAGCGGUAAAAUGCGUAAAUAUAUGGAGGAACACCAGAGGCGUAGGCGGCUUGCUGGGACUUUACUGACGCUGAGGCACGAAAGCGUGGGGAGCAAACAGGAUUAGAUACCCUGGUAGUCCACGCCGUAAACGAUGAGUACUAAGUGUCGGGUAAAACCGGUACUGAAGUUAACACAUUAAGUACUCCGCCUGAGUAGUACGUACGCAAGUAUGAAACUUAAAGGAAUUGACGGGACUCCGCACAAGCGGUGGAUCAUGUUGUUUAAUUCGAAGAUACACGAAAAACCUUACCAGGUCUUGACAUUUUCUUGCGAAGUUAUAGAAAUAUAAUGGAGGUUAUCAGGAAAACAGGUGGUGCAUGGUUGUCGUCAGCUCGUGUCGUGAGAUGUUAGGUUAAGUCCUAAAACGAGCGCAACCCUUGUUGUUAAUUGCCAGCAUGUAAUGAUGGGGACUUUAACGAGACUGCCAAUGAAAAAUUGGAGGAAGGUGGGGAUUACGUCAAAUCAUCAUGCCCCUUAUGAUCUGGGCUACAAACGUGAUACAAUGGUUGAUACAAAGAGUAGCUGAAACGCGAGUUCUUAGCCAAUCUCACAAAAUCAAUCUCAGUUCGGAUUGAAGUCUGCAACUCGACUUCAUGAAGUUGGAAUCGCUAGUAAUCGCGAAUCAGCAUGUCGCGGUGAAUACGUUCUCGGGGUUUGUACACACCGCCCGUCAAACCACGAAAGUUGGCAAUACCCCAAAGCGGUCACCUAACUUCGCAAGAAGAAGGAUCCGUCUAAGGUAGGGUCGAUGAUUGGGGUUAAG
RNAcentral lists this ribosomal RNA (1427 nucleotides) under 'Citrus sinensis' X-disease phytoplasma. Its description in RNAcentral is "bacterial SSU rRNA". It matches the Rfam family "Bacterial small subunit ribosomal RNA". Lineage: Bacteria; Bacillati; Mycoplasmatota; Mollicutes; Acholeplasmatales; Acholeplasmataceae. The record is from RNAcentral.